RNAcentral lists this ribosomal RNA (652 nucleotides) under Escherichia coli. RNAcentral's name for it is "bacterial SSU rRNA". It matches the Rfam family "Bacterial small subunit ribosomal RNA", at positions 874 to 1526 of the family's 1533-position model. Lineage: Bacteria; Pseudomonadati; Pseudomonadota; Gammaproteobacteria; Enterobacterales; Enterobacteriaceae. The record is from RNAcentral.
UGGGGAGUACGGCCGCAAGGUUAAAACUCAAAUGAAUUGACGGGGGCCCGCACAAGCGGUGGAGCAUGUGGUUUAAUUCGAUGCAACGCGAAGAACCUUACCUGGUCUUGACAUCCACAGAACUUUCCAGAGAUGGAUUGGUGCCUUCGGGAACUGUGAGACAGGUGCUGCAUGGCUGUCGUCAGCUCGUGUUGUGAAAUGUUGGGUUAAGUCCCGCAACGAGCGCAACCCUUAUCCUUUGUUGCCAGCGGUCCGGCCGGGAACUCAAAGGAGACUGCCAGUGAUAAACUGGAGGAAGGUGGGGAUGACGUCAAGUCAUCAUGGCCCUUACGACCAGGGCUACACACGUGCUACAAUGGCGCAUACAAAGAGAAGCGACCUCGCGAGAGCAAGCGGACCUCAUAAAGUGCGUCGUAGUCCGGAUUGGAGUCUGCAACUCGACUCCAUGAAGUCGGAAUCGCUAGUAAUCGUGGAUCAGAAUGCCACGGUGAAUACGUUCCCGGGCCUUGUACACACCGCCCGUCACACCAUGGGAGUGGGUUGCAAAAGAAGUAGGUAGCUUAACCUUCGGGAGGGCGCUUACCACUUUGUGAUUCAUGACUGGGGUGAAGUCGUAACAAGGUAACCGUAGGGGAACCUGCGGUUGGAUCAC